Molecule: ribosomal RNA, 381 nt
Filed under: uncultured eukaryote
Lineage: Eukaryota
Description: partial 18S ribosomal RNA
Rfam family: Eukaryotic small subunit ribosomal RNA
Source: RNAcentral
CAAUAGCGUAUAUUGAAGUUGUUGCGGUUAAAAAGCUCGUCGUUGGAUUUCUGUUGAGGUCGAACAGUGCCGCCCUAUGGGCGCGCAACUGGCUCGGCUUCGGCAUCUUCUUGGAGAGCGCAUCUGCACUUAACUGUGUGGAUCGUACUUCAAGUCAGUUACUUUGAGGAAUUGUGAGUGUUUCAAGCAGGCUUACGCCGUUGAAUCCGUUAGCAUGGAAUAAUAGGAUAGGACCUCGGUUCUAUUUUGUUGGUUUUGAGAGCUGGGGCAGCGAUUGAUAGGGACGGAUGGGGGCGUCCGAACUUUACUGUCAGAGGUGAAAUUCUUAGAUCGGUCAAAGGCGAACCACUGCGAACGCAUUCGCCAAGAAUGUUUUCUUUA